AAUACUCCUGACUGACCGAUAGUGAACCAGUACCGUGAGGGAAAGGCGAAAAGAACCCCGGCGAGGGGAGUGAAAAAGAACCUGAAACCGUGUACGUACAAGCAGUGGGAGCCCCACCACUAAGCCAGUGGUGAACUCCACAUACGCAUCCUUUGCUGAGGAUACGGUUAACGGAGCGAAAGCGACGUUCAACCGCAAAAGAAGCAGAGGGGGCUUAGUGGUGGGGUGACUGCGUACCUUUUGUAUAAUGGGUCAGCGACUUAUAUUCUGUAGCAAGGUUAACCGUAUAGGGGAGCCGCAGGGAAACCGAGUCUUAACCGGGCGUUAAGUUGCAGGGUAUAGACCCGAAACCCGGUGAUCUAGCCAUGGGCAGGUUGAAGGUUGGGUAACACUAACUGGAGGACCGAACCGACUAAUGUUGAAAAAUUAGCGGAUGACCUGUGGCUGGGGGUGAAAGGCCAAUCAAACCGGGAGAUAGCUGGUUCUCCCCGAAAGCUAUUUAGGUAGCGCCUCGUGAACUCAUCUCCGGGGGUAGAGCACUGUUUCGGCUAGGGGGCCAUCCCGGCUUACCAACCCGAUGCAAACUGCGAAUACCGGAGAAUGUUAUCACGGGAGACACACGGCGGGUGCUAACGUCCGUCGUGAAGAGGGAAACAACCCAGACCGCCAGCUAAGGUCCCAAAGUCAUGGUUAAGUGGGAAACGAUGUGGGAAGGCCCAGACAGCCAGGAUGUUGGCUUAGAAGCAGCCAUCAUUUAAAGAAAGCGUAAUAGCUCACUGGUCGAGUCGGCCUGCGCGGAAGAUGUAACGGGGCUAAACCAUGCACCGAAGCUGCGGCAGCGACACUAUGUGUUGUUGGGUAGGGGAGCGUUCUGUAAGCCUGUGAAGGUGGCCUGUGAGGGUUGCUGGAGGUAUCAGAAGUGCGAAUGCUGACAUAAGUAACGAUAAAGCGGGUGAAAAGCCCGCUCGCCGGAAGACCAAGGGUUCCUGUCCAACGUUAAUCGGGGCAGGGUGAGUCGACCCCUAAGGCGAGGCCGAAAGGCGUAGUCGAUGGGAAACGGGUUAAUAUUCCCGUACUUGGUGUUACUGCGAAGGGGGGACGGAGAAGGCUAUGUUGGCCGGGCGACGGUUGUCCCGGUUUAAGCGUGUAGGUGUGUGUUCCAGGUAAAUCCGGUUCACUUUAACACUGAGGCGUGAUGACGAGGCACUACGGUGCUGAAGCAACAAAUGCCCUGCUUCCAGGAAAAGCCUCUAAGCAUCAGGUAACAUCAAAUCGUACCCCAAACCGACACAGGUGGUCAGGUAGAGAAUACCAAGGCGCUUGAGAGAACUCGGGUGAAGGAACUAGGCAAAAUGGUGCCGUAACUUCGGGAGAAGGCACGCUGACAUGUAGGUGAAGUGAUUUACUCAUGGAGCUGAAGUCAGUCGAAGAUA
Molecule: ribosomal RNA, 1433 nt
Filed under: Salmonella enterica
Lineage: Bacteria; Pseudomonadati; Pseudomonadota; Gammaproteobacteria; Enterobacterales; Enterobacteriaceae
Description: partial 23S ribosomal RNA
Rfam family: Bacterial large subunit ribosomal RNA
Source: RNAcentral